This 464-nucleotide ribosomal RNA is filed under the name uncultured bacterium. RNAcentral's name for it is "partial 16S ribosomal RNA". It matches the Rfam family "Bacterial small subunit ribosomal RNA", at positions 28 to 507 of the family's 1533-position model. The record is from RNAcentral.
GACGAACGCUGGCGGCGUGCUUAACACAUGCAAGUCGAACGGAAAGGCCCUGCUUGCCGGGUACUCGAGUGGCGAACGGGUGAGUAACACGUGGGUGAUCUGCCCUGCACUUCGGGAUAAGCCUGGGAAACUGGGUCUAAUACCGGAUAGGAGCCAUUUUUAGUGUGAUGGUUGGAAAGUUUUUUCGGUGUAGGAUGAGCGCGCGGCCUAUCAGCUUGUUGGUGGGGUAAUGGCCUACCAAGGCGGCGAGGGGUAGCCGGCCUGAGAGGGUGGACGGCCACAUUGGGACUGGGAUACGGCCCAGACUCCAACGGGAGGCAGCAGGGGGAAAUAUGACAGAAUGGGGCCAAGCCUGAGGCGACGACGCCGGGUGGGGGAUGACGGCCUUCGGGUGAAAAACCUCUUUCGAAGGGGCCGAAGCUUUUUGGGCGGUUACCAAUAAAAAAACCACGGCUUAAUACGUG